RNAcentral lists this ribosomal RNA (468 nucleotides) under uncultured bacterium. Its description in RNAcentral is "partial 16S ribosomal RNA". It matches the Rfam family "Bacterial small subunit ribosomal RNA", at positions 28 to 507 of the family's 1533-position model. The record is from RNAcentral.
GACGAACGCUGGCGGCGUGCUUAACACAUGCAAGUCGAACGGAAAGGCCCUGCUUUUGUGGGGUGCUCGAGUGGCGAACGGGUGAGUAACACGUGAGUAACCUGCCCUUGACUUUGGGAUAACUUCAGGAAACUGGGGCUAAUACCGGAUAGGAGCUCCUGCUGCAUGGUGGGGGUUGGAAAGUUUCGGCGGUUGGGGAUGGACUCGCGGCUUAUCAGCUUGUUGGUGGGGUAGUGGCUUACCAAGGCUUUGACGGGUAGCCGGCCUGAGAGGGUGACCGGCCAAAUUGGGACUGAGAUACGGCCCAGACUCCUCCGGGAGGCAGCAGUGGGGAAUGUUGCACGAUGGGCGGAAGCCUGGUGCAGCAACGCAGCGUGCGGGAUGACGGCCUUCGGGUUGUAAACCGCAUUCGCCUGAGACGAAGCGUGAGUGACGGUAAUGGGUAAAGAAGCACCGGCUAACUACGUG